Molecule: long non-coding RNA, 1685 nt
Organism: Hippocampus zosterae (dwarf seahorse)
Lineage: Eukaryota; Metazoa; Chordata; Actinopteri; Syngnathiformes; Syngnathidae
Exons: 2
Source: RefSeq, a predicted model, not a curated record
CCUGCGUUCAUACAAGUCGCAUCAGUCCCGCCUGGUCCGAGUCACCCCGAGAAUUAAAACACCCAGGAAAUAGCAACAAUUCUCUCAAUACCAUCAUCUGUAUUUUCAGUCCGUGAUGACAUUAAAUGACCUAGACUUAGCCAUGUGUCCAAUGUUGCCUUAGCCACCAGGGUCAAAGGUCACACCCCUUCCUUGGAGGAAGUGCACAGAAAGUAAUGGAUCCUAACUAGAAGGGAGUGCAAGUAAUGACCUGAAAACUGAACUCAUCUUCUUAUUGUUGUUUUCUCAAAUGAUUUAAGGAUAGAGGUGUCGAAAUUGUUUUUGUUCAGGGGCCACAUUCAUCCCAGUUUGAUCUCAAGUGGGCCGGACCAGUGCAUUUGCGGCCCAAGAAACUAUAACUACCGGGUAAAUCCACGUUUCCCCAUUUUUGGGUGCAAACGAUUCCAAAAUAUUCACAUUUAUGAAUUAUCUUGAUGAAAACCCUGUUUCAAAUAAAAAGAGUGCAAUUUCAACACUAUUAGGAAUCACGUGCAACUCAAUUUAAGAGUCACGGUGGCCAAACCUUCUAUAGAGCAACUAAUGAUAACGAAAUAAUUUGAAAUUGACAUAAUUUCCAUAUCCAUCGGUAAAUCUUGACAAUCUUAACUAAACUCAUCACACCACACAAACUAUGGCGGUAACUAUUGAGAAAGAGGUUAUUCGGCUAUUUAUAUAAAAUAUAUGUACAAAAAUACAAUUGUGGCAGUCCCUGAAAAAAAAUGGUGGAUGAAAACCAAUCUUAUUUGAACUGAAGCAUGUUUACUUGGCUCCUGAAAAUUGGCGUUUUAGAAUCUUCACAAGGGCUUCAACAUCAGGCUUGCAAUACUGAGUUGCAGACGAUUUGAGAAUGUUAUCUAAGUAGUCAUCAGAGCACCCUCCAGUGGAAAAAAUCAGCAACGACAGUUAAUUUUGUAGAAAAUUUGAAAAUUGUUCUGUCCCCAUGGCUCAGAUUGGACCCUCUGGUCAGCUGAUUCUGGCUCACGGGCAGCAUGUUUGACAUCUUUGAUUUAUGGAGUUCAUUUAGGUUGUCAUUACAUACCCAUAUCAAAAUUCCCUGGACUGCUUUUGGAAUGAUUUUGCAAAUGACAAUAACAAAAACUGAGAAGUCACCUUUGAUGUGAAAAUAAUGUUGGUUAAUUAUGAUAAUGAAGAUACAAUUUCCACAAUAGCUGUCUUAAAAUUACCAUUUAAACUAUAUGUCAGCCAGUCACAUUUUUCUUUCUCUGCGUGUAGAAGUCCAACAGUUGUAAAGGGACUGUGUAAAAGAGGCAACCCACUGAUUCCUGCCGAGUACUUUCCACUGAUAGUACUGACUCUAGAUUUGUUCAAAUGUGUACCUGAGAUGCAUACGCUCUAUCCAGCAGAGGCAGGUACUGGAAUAUGUGGAGAAGGAUCUCCUGCGGCAGGCAUUCCCAGUGGACCGCUUCUUCGUCAAGUUCCGUGUCCCUCCUCUGUUUACGAGACCGCUUGAGAGACCCGCUACUGGUGCCGCCCCCAUCCUCCUGUUUAGUUCCCUGGAGUCCUCGUUUCAUCCUGGAGGUUACAAAUGGUCGACUGUUAAGGGGGGGGGGGCAUGGCAAUCACGUAAUUAUGUAAAUAUGCUUGAUCAGAUAACAGAUGUUAUUACACUCAACUGAUGGAAUUUA